Small nucleolar RNA from Hucho hucho (huchen), 137 nucleotides. The record is from Ensembl. NCBI's taxonomy places the organism in Eukaryota, Metazoa, Chordata, Actinopteri, Salmoniformes, Salmonidae.
UGCAGGCUUGUCAAAUUCAGUGCUUCCCCUACAGUGGACUGCACUGGCCAAAAUGGCUGCCAAAGUGAAACUGUAGUUCAUGGGCCCCACAUCCCUUUGUCAUGGUAGUUGGGGAUACAUUUGUGCUACAGACAUAA